GACGAACGCUGGCGGCGUGCCUAAUACAUGCAAGUCGAACGCUUCUUUCCUCCCGAGUGCUUGCACUCAAUUGGAAAGGGGAGUGGCGGACGGGUGAUUAACACGUGGGUAACCUACCCAUCAGAGGGGGAUAACACUUGGAAACAGGUGCUAAUACCGCAUAACAGUUUAUGCCGCAUGGCAUAAGAGUGAAAGGCGCUUUCGGGUGUCGCUGAUGGAUGGACCCGCGGUGCAUUAGCUAGUUGGUGAGGUAACGGCUCACCAAGGCCACGAUGCAUAGCCGACCUGAGAGGGUGAUCGGCCACACUGGGACUGAGACACGGCCCAGACUCCUACGGGAGGCAGCAGUAGGGAAUCUUCGGCAAUGGACGAAAGUCUGACCGAGCAACGCCGCGUGAGUGAAGAAGGUUUUCGGAUCGUAAAACUCUGUUGUUAGAGAAGAACAAGGACGUUAGUAACUGAACGUCCCCUGACGGUAUCUAAACAGAAAGCCACGGCUAACUACGUG
RNAcentral lists this ribosomal RNA (508 nucleotides) under uncultured bacterium. RNAcentral's name for it is "partial 16S ribosomal RNA". It matches the Rfam family "Bacterial small subunit ribosomal RNA", at positions 28 to 507 of the family's 1533-position model. The record is from RNAcentral.